ACGGCCAUAGCCUCCUCACAGUACCGCGUCCCGUCUGAUCCGCGAAGUCAACUAGGAGAGCGCUCGGUUAGUACCACCUGGGAAUCCCGGGUGCCGUCGUUU
Molecule: ribosomal RNA, 102 nt
Organism: Cryptococcus wingfieldii CBS 7118
Lineage: Eukaryota; Fungi; Basidiomycota; Tremellomycetes; Tremellales; Cryptococcaceae
Source: RefSeq, a predicted model, not a curated record